UACGAAGGGUGCAAGCGUUACUCGGAAUUACUGGGCGUAAAGCGUGCGUGGUGGUUUGUUAAGUCUGAUGUGAAAGCCCUGGGCUCAACCUGGGAAUUGCAUUGGAUACUGGCAGGCUAGAGUGCGGUAGAGGGUAGUGGAAUUCCCGGUGUAGCAGUGAAAUGCGUAGAGAUCGGGAGGAACAUCUGUGGCGAAGGCGACUACCUGGACCAGCACUGACACUGAGGCACGAAAGCGUGGGGAGCAAACAGG
RNAcentral lists this ribosomal RNA (252 nucleotides) under uncultured bacterium. RNAcentral's name for it is "partial 16S ribosomal RNA". It matches the Rfam family "Bacterial small subunit ribosomal RNA", at positions 524 to 776 of the family's 1533-position model. The record is from RNAcentral.